GACGAACGCUGGCGGCGCGCCUAACACAUGCAAGUCGAACGAGCGAGAGGGAGCUUGCUUUCUCGAGCGAGUGGCGAACGGGUGAGUAACGCGUGAGGAACCUGCCUCAAAGAGGGGGACAACAGUUGGAAACGACUGCUAAUACCGCAUAAGCCCACGGUGCCGCAUGGCACAGAGGGAAAAGGAGCAAUCCGCUUUGAGAUGGCCUCGCGUCCGAUUAGCUAGUUGGUGAGGUAAUGGCCCACCAAGGCGACGAUCGGUAGCCGGACUGAGAGGUUGAACGGCCACAUUGGGACUGAGACACGGCCCAGACUCCUACGGGAGGCAGCAGUGGGGAAUAUUGCACAAUGGGGGAAACCCUGAUGCAGCGACGCCGCGUGGAGGAAGAAGGUCUUCGGAUUGUAAACUCCUGUUGUUGGGGAAGAUAAUGACGGUACCCAACAAGGAAGUGACGGCUAACUACGU
Molecule: ribosomal RNA, 465 nt
Filed under: uncultured bacterium
Lineage: Bacteria
Description: partial 16S ribosomal RNA
Rfam family: Bacterial small subunit ribosomal RNA
Source: RNAcentral